CUCCAAACAGACAUGCGAGGUGCCUUUGGAAAACCCCAGGGCACUGUGGCCGGGGUUCACAUUGUACCACGGUUAUCAUGUCCAUCUGCACCAAGCUGCAGAACAAGGAGCAUGUGAUUGAGGCCCUGCGCAGGGCCAAGUUCAAGUUCCCUGGCCACCCCAAAGAUCCACAUCUCAAAGAAGUGAGACUUCACCAAGUUCAAUGCAGAUGAAUUUGAAGACAUGGUGGCUGAGAAGCGGCUCAUCCCAGAUGGCUGUGGGAUCAAGUACAUCCCUAGUCGUGGCCCUCUGGACAAGUGGCAGGCCCUGCACUCAU
This 316-nucleotide long non-coding RNA is filed under the name Homo sapiens (human). RNAcentral's name for it is "non-protein coding lnc-C21orf62-3:1". The record is from RNAcentral. Lineage: Eukaryota; Metazoa; Chordata; Mammalia; Primates; Hominidae.